Molecule: RNA transcript, 5116 nt
Organism: Myotis myotis
Lineage: Eukaryota; Metazoa; Chordata; Mammalia; Chiroptera; Vespertilionidae
Gene: LEPR
Gene name: leptin receptor
Exons: 20
Source: RefSeq, a predicted model, not a curated record
CCUUCAAUGAGGAGUUUGGAGCCGCCCCACUGCAGAGUCCACACCGGCUGAGCCAGAGCCACGCGAGUGCGAGAGCCCGGGUGCGGCCGCCAUCUCUGCUUUCCGUCUGGGUUGGACCCCGGCAUCGAGGUGUUCUUCUCUGAAGUAAGAUGACUUGUCAAAAAUUUUGUAUGGCUUUGUUACAGUGGGAAUUUAUUUAUGUGAUAUCAGCAUUUAACUUGGCAUAUCCCAGUACUCCUUGGAGAUUUAAGCUGUUUUGCAUGCCACCAAACACAACUUACGACUUUCUCUUGCCUGCUGGAAUUUCAAAGAACACUUCAAAUUUGAAUGGAUAUUAUGAGCCACUUUUAGAAGCUAAAUUUAAUUCAAGUGGUACCUACUAUUCUAACUUAACAUCCAAAACAACUUUCCACUGUUGCAUUUGGAGUGAGGAAAAUGAAAACUGCUCUGUACAAGCAGACAACAUUGAAGGGAAGGCGUUCGUUUCACCAGUAAAUUCUUUAGUUUUUCAACAAAUAGGUGCAAACUGGAACAUACAGUGCUGGAUGAAAGAGGACUUGGAAUUAUUCAUCUGUUAUAUAGAGCCAUUAUUUAAGAAUUCUUUCAAGAAUUAUGACCUUAAGGUCCAUCUUUUAUAUGUUCUGCCUGAAGUGUCAGAAGAAUCACCGCUGGUCCCCCAGAAAGGCAGUUUCCGGCUUGUUCAGUGCAACUGCAGUGCUCAUAAAUGUUGUGAAUGCCAUGUGUCUGUGCCAGCAGCCAAGCUCAACUGCACUCUCUCUAUGUAUUUAAAAAUCACAUCUGGGGGAGUGGUUUUUCAGUCACCUUUAAUGUCAGUUCAACCCAUCACUAUCGUGAAGCCCGAUCCACCAUUAGGUUUGCAUAUGGAAAUCACAGACAGUGGUGAUUUAAAGAUUUCUUGGUCCAGUUCAACAUCGGUACCGUUUCAACUUCAAUAUGAAGUGAAAUAUUCAGAGAAUUCUACAAGUAUGAGAGAAGCUGAUGAGAUCGUCUCAGCCACAUCUCUGCUAAUAGACAGUGUGCUUCCUGGGUCUUCGUAUGAGGUUCAGGUGAGGGGCAAGAGGCUGGAUGGCCCAGGCAUCUGGAGUGACUGGAGCACCCCUCUUACUUUUACCACACAAGAUGUCAUAUACUUUCCACCUAAAAUUCUGACAAGUGUUGGGUCUAAUGUUUCUUUUCACUGCAUCUACAAAGAUGAAAACAAGAUUGUUUCCUCAAAAAAUAUUGUUUGGUGGAUGAAUUUAGCCAAGAAAAUUCCUGAAAGCCAGUAUAACAUUGUGGGUGACCGUGUUAGCAAAGUUACUCUUCCCAGUUUGAAUGCAACCAGACUGCGAGGAAAGUUCACCUACGAUGCAGUGUACUGCUGCAACGAGCAUGAGUGCCACCAUCGCUAUGCUGAAUUGUAUGUGGUUGAUGUCAAUAUCAAUAUAUUAUGUGAAACUGAUGGGUACUUAACUAAAAUGACUUGCAGAUGGUCACCUAAUGCAAUCCAAUCACUCACGGGGAGUACUUUGCAAUUGAGGUAUCAUAGGAGCAGCCUUUAUUGUUCUGAUGUUCCAUCUAUUCAUACCACCUCUGAACCCAAAGAUUGCCAUUUGCAGAGAGAUGGUUUUUAUGAAUGCAUAUUUCAGCCAAUCUUUCUAUUAUCCGGCUACACAAUGUGGAUAAGGAUCAAUCACUCUCUGGGUUCAUUGGAUUCUCCUCCAACGUGUGUUGUUCCUGAUUCCAUGGUAAAACCAUUGCCUCCAUCCAGUGUGAAAGCAGAAAUUACUGCAAAAAUUGGAUUAUUGAAAAUAUCUUGGAAAAAGCCCAUUUUUCCAGAGAAUAAUCUUCAGUUCCAGAUUCGUUAUGGCUUAAAUGGAAAAGAAAUACAGUGGAAGAUGCAUGAGGUAUAUGAUGCAAAAUCAAAAUCUGUCAGUCUCCCGGUGCCAGACCUGUGUGCAGUCUACGCUGCUCAGGUGCGCUGUAAGAGGCUGGAUGGACUGGGAUAUUGGAGUAAUUGGAGUACUCCAGCCUACACAGUGGUCAUGGAUGUAAAAGUUCCUAUCAAAGGACCUGAAUUUUGGAGAAUAAUUCAUGAAGACAGUACAAAAAAGGAAAGAAAUGUCACUUUACUUUGGAAACCCCUGAUGAAAAAUGAUUCAUUGUGCCGUGUGAGAAGAUAUGUAGUAAAGCAUCACACUGCCCGCAAUGGAACAUGGUCAGAAGAUGUGGGCAACCACACCAAAUUCACUUUCCAAUGGACAGAGCAAACACAUACUGUUACAGUUCUGGCUGUUAAUUCGAUUGGUGCCUCUUUUGCAAAUUUUAAUUUAACGCUCUCAUGGCCUAUGAGCAAAGUAAAUAUUGUGCAGUCACUCAAUGCUUAUCCUUUAAAUAGUAGUUGUGUGAUUCUUUCCUGGAUGCUAUCACUUAGUGAUUACAAUCUGAUAUAUUUUAUUCUUGAGUGGAAAAUUCUUAAUGAAGACAAUGAAAUUAAAUGGCGUAGAAUCCCUUCGUCUGUUAAGAGGUAUUAUAUCCAUGAUCAUUUUAUCCCAAUUGAGAAGUAUCAAUUCAGUCUUUACCCUAUAUUUAUGGAAGGAGUGGGGAAACCGAAGAUAAUUAAUAGUUUUACCCAAGAUGAUAUUGAAAAACACCAGACUGAUGCAGGUCUAUAUGUAAUUGUGCCAAUAAUUAUUUCUUCAUUAACCCUGUUGCUUGGAGCAUUGCUAAUAUUACAUCAAAGAAUGAAGAAGCUGUUUUGGGAUGAUGUUCCAAACCCCAAGAAUUGUUCCUGGGCACAAGGACUUAAUUUUCAAAAGAAAGAUUGUUGGACUGGAAAAAAACCGACUUAGGGUCCUUGCUGUUCUAAGUAGCUGUGCAACUUUAAGCCUCAAUUGUUUUGUCUAAAAAAGGGGAGAUACGUGGAGCAGAGUACGGACAUUCUUUGAAGUCUAAUCAUGAUCACUACAGAUGAACCCAAUGUACCAACUUUCCAACAUUCUAUAGAGUAUUAGAAGAUUUUUACAUUUUGAAGAAGGGGAGAAAAUCUAAAAAUAAAAUUUGGUUGAACUAUUAAGAACUAAACUAUGAUGGAUCUGUUGAUUUAGAACUAAAAACAGAUGGGUAAAUUUGGGAUGGAGAUAAAGGUCUGAGUCCAGUUCAAUUUGGAUGUAUGAUUACUUUUCAGGUCAUCUGAAGUUUAAAAAGCAGUGUUCAUGAUAUCUGGCUUUUGAUUGAUCAUUUGGUCAUGAAACAUUGAAAAAUUCUAACUGUUGUUCUUAUUACAUAUCUAUUAGGAAUCAUCAAAUAUAGAGUAAACAAUGUUGUCAGUAGAUAACAACAGCAGCUUCUGACACGUAGUUUUGCAGAUAUACUGACUCUAAUGACAGAUGAAGUAAAUGUAUUUAGUUUGUACUUUUAUGUUCAAAAUUUCCCAUCUUAUAUUCUUUUAUAGACACUUCCAUGUGGUCAACCUGGGAGUUUUCAUUUUCUAUAGUCUCAAAAAUGGUCAAGUGCUAACUUCAUUUCAUUUCAAAAAAGCCAGAAGUUAUAGUUUGUGCUGGUCACAGGCCUCUGCAAGUUACAGUUCAUAUCAGCAUGACCUGGCAUAGCAAGAUCAGAUUGACCAGAAAAUACAUUAGCUUCCAAUUCAGCCUCCUCGUAAAAUUUUUGCUUGAAUUUAAUAUAUUUACACUGAACCUCCCAAAGCUUCUGGCAGGCAAGGGAGUGCACAGUGGUACAAGAAGGAAGACUCUUUGGAGCUUUGACAGAUAUUUCAUGGUGAUGACAGGACGUUUCUCCCUGAAAAAGACCACCUGCUGUUUCUAUGAACUUAGCAGACUGUGUUCUGUUGCUCACAUUAAAAAUGAACCAAAGUCUUUGUUUGAUGAACAACAACAACAAAAAUUCAAAUUUAGGCUAUACAUGGAUCACUUAAAUUUAGAUUUCAUUCACAGUUUUAUUUGAAUGUAAAAAAAAUAAAACUAAACAAUGAAAAGAAUGGUAUCCUUUUUCCCCUUCAUUGACUUUAAAUAGAUGUCAUUGGAAUGUAAAAUCUGAGUGAAAUUAAGAAAAGACAUUCUUUAUUUCCCACCAGCUGAACAUAUAAUAUGUUCCCAGACUCUUCUAAAAACCUCAAAAAUUUAGAUGCAUUCAGUAAUUUAGAUGCUUUUGAGUAAGCAUACUUUUAAUAAAGGUUUGUGACCCCUUUAUACACUUCAAUAAUAUAUGAGUGUAUGAUUUCUAAUUAUUUAUUAGUGAAGUCUUCCAUCUAAAAUGAAUGCAAUCAUAGACAUGGGGUCAGUUUUUAGUUACCAAUUACGAAGUCCUAGAGGGCAUUGAAUAUGCCAAACAUGUCAUUUGAAAAACAUAUGUGAGUUAGACUGCAUUCCAUGGGCUAUGUUGUGUAUUUUUUGUUUUCACACUGAUAGUUUGUAAUUCCUUUAUUUGGUGAUCUUAAUUUCUAAGUUAUUUAAAAUUUCAAGAAAUUCAAAACAUAUAUAGUAGUAGCCUUAAGAAAAAACAAAAUGAACAAGCAAAUAUUUGAAGGAACUAAUAAAUCUAAGUAUAGAUUUCUGUCAGAAUGAAAAUAGGCACAGAAACAGUUCCUCUUACUAUAUUAUGUUUAUAGAAUAAUGGAAAGGUUAUGUUAACAUGGUAUUUGUCAUUAUGCAGUAUUUUAAUAUCUUUAUAAGCCUAUUCCAUUAUUAUUAUAUUUACUGUUUGGUAUAUUUAUUCUUUUAUGGUUAUAAUGACCAAUAUAUUUCAGUUCAGUUCAAAACUUUGCUAAAUGAACUAUGUUUUUAUAUGGAAUAGAUUUGCCAUUAUGAACUCAGGCAACAAAUCUGAAUUCACUUUAUUAGUUUAAAAUUUAUAAUAUUCAAAAGUUCACUUAUAUGUAUGAUAUACAAAUUGCACAUAUUUUCUAUAACACUUCAUUUAGUUGUGUUAAUUUUUCAAUGUGAUGUGUCCACAGUAUUCUUUAUUUUGCAUUUAUUUUUUCAGUAUGUUCACAUUGUAUGAGUUGUGUUUUUUGCACACAUAUUCUUGAUGUGUUAUGCUUGAGAGGAUUUUUCUUUUGCUGUAACCACCAUUCUUAUAAAAUAUAUGAUAUGCA